RNAcentral lists this ribosomal RNA (497 nucleotides) under uncultured bacterium. Its description in RNAcentral is "partial 16S ribosomal RNA". It matches the Rfam family "Bacterial small subunit ribosomal RNA", at positions 28 to 507 of the family's 1533-position model. The record is from RNAcentral.
GAUGAACGCUGGCGGCGUGCCUAAUACAUGCAAGUCGAGCGAACAGACGAGGAGCUUGCUCCUCUGACGUUAGCGGCGGACGGGUGAGUAACACGUGGAUAACCUACCUAUAAGACUGGGAUAACUUCGGGAAACCGGAGCUAAUACCGGAUAAUAUAUUGAACCGCAUGGUUCAAUAGUGAAAGACGGUUUUGCUGUCACUUAUAGAUGGAUCCGCGCCGCAUUAGCUAGUUGGUAAGGUAACGGCUUACCAAGGCGACGAUGCGUAGCCGACCUGAGAGGGUGAUCGGCCACACUGGAACUGAGACACGGUCCAGACUCCUACGGGAGGCAGCAGUAGGGAAUCUUCCGCAAUGGGCGAAAGCCUGACGGAGCAACGCCGCGUGAGUGAUGAAGGUCUUCGGAUCGUAAAACUCUGUUAUUAGGGAAGAACAAAUGUGUAAGUAACUAUGCACGUCUUGACGGUAACUAAUCAGAAAGCCACGGCUAACUACGUG